Molecule: ribosomal RNA, 659 nt
Filed under: human gut metagenome
Description: bacterial LSU rRNA
Rfam family: Bacterial large subunit ribosomal RNA
Source: RNAcentral
AUGUUACCCGUACCGUAAACCGACACAGGUGGUCGAGGAGAGUAUCCUAAGGUGCUCGAGUGAAUCACGGUUAAGGAACUAGGCAAAUUAACCCCGUAACUUCGGGAAAAGGGGUCCCUAUGAAAGUAGGGCGCAGCGAAAAGGUCCAGGCGACUGUUUAUCAAAAACACAGGGCUCUGCAAAUUCGAAAGAAGACGUAUAGGGCCUGACACCUGCCCGGUGCUGGAAGGUUAAGAGGGGAUGUCAUCGCAAGAGAAGCAUUGAAUCGAAGCCCCAGUAAACGGCGGCCGUAACUAUAACGGUCCUAAGGUAGCGAAAUUCCUUGUCGGGUAAGUUCCGACCUGCACGAAUGGUGUAACGAUCUGGACACUGUCUCAACCGUGAGCUCGGUGAAAUUGUAGUCCCGGUGAAGAUGCCGGGUACCCGCGACGGGACGAAAAGACCCCGUGAACCUUUACUAUAGCUUAACGCUGAAUUUGGGUACACAAUGUGUAGGAUAGGCCGGAGGCAUUGAGACGGGCACGCCAGUGUUCGUGGAGCCGACGUUGAAAUACGGCCCUUUGUGUACUUGGAUUCUAACCCCUCGAGGGGGACACCGUUUGGUGGGUAGUUUGACUGGGGUGGUCGCCUCCAAAAGCGUAACGGAGGCUUCCCAAGGU